CUUUUGAGUACCUAUGUUUCCUCGGCAGGCUUGCCUGCCGGCUGGACAAUACCAUAACCCUUUUUGAUUUUGAAUCAGCGUCUGAAAAAUUUAAUAAUUACAACUUUCAACAACGGAUCUCUUGGUUCUGGCAUCGAUGAAGAACGCAGCGAAAUGCGAUAAGUAGUGUGAAUUGCAGAAUUCAGUGAAUCAUCGAAUCUUUGAACGCACAUUGCGCCCCUUGGUAUUCCAUGGGGCAUGCCUGUUCGAGCGUCAUUUG
Molecule: ribosomal RNA, 259 nt
Filed under: Sclerostagonospora elegiae
Lineage: Eukaryota; Fungi; Ascomycota; Dothideomycetes; Pleosporales; Phaeosphaeriaceae
Description: 5.8S ribosomal RNA
Rfam family: 5.8S ribosomal RNA (bases 102-255)
About the family: 5.8S ribosomal RNA (5.8S rRNA) is a component of the large subunit of the eukaryotic ribosome.
Source: RNAcentral